UCCAUGAGACUCAGCUGUAAGGCAUUUUCUCAAUUAGUGAUCAACGGGGGAGGGUCCCUUGUGGGCAGUGCUGUCCCUGGACUGGUAGUCUUGGGUUCCUAUAAGAAAACAAGCUGGAGCAAGCCAGUAAGUAACAUCUCUCCAUGGCCUCUGCAUCAGCUCCUGCUUCCUGAUCUGUGUGAAUUCCAGUCCUGACUUCCUUUGGCGAUUGAUGAACAGCAAUGUGGAAGUGUACACUGAAUAAACCCUUUCCUUCCCAACUUGCUUCUUGGUCAUGAUUUUUGUGUAGGAAUAGAAACCCUGACUCAGGGCUGGAGAGAUGGCUCAGUAGUUAAGAGCACUGACUGCUCUUCCAGAAGUCCUGAGUUCAAAUCCCAGCAACCACAUGGUGGCUCACAACCAUCUGUAAUGAGAUCUGAUGCCCUCUUCUGGUGUGUCUGAAGACAGCUACAGUGUACUUACAUAUAAUAAAUUAAUCUUUAAAA
RNAcentral lists this long non-coding RNA (485 nucleotides) under Rattus norvegicus (Norway rat). RNAcentral's name for it is "long non-coding RNA NONRATT019258". The record is from RNAcentral. Lineage: Eukaryota; Metazoa; Chordata; Mammalia; Rodentia; Muridae.